GAUGAACGCUGGCGGCGUGCUUAACACAUGCAAGUCGAACGAGGUAAGUAGGAAAGACCUUCGGGUCAAACUUACUUACCUAGUGGCGGACGGGUGAGUAACGCGUGGGUAACCUGCCUCAUACAGGGGGAUAACAGUUAGAAAUAGCUGCUAAUACCGCAUAAGCCCACCGUAUCGCAUGAUACGGUGGGAAAAACUCCGGUGGUAUGAGAUGGACCCGCGUCUGAUUAGCUAGUUGGUAAGGUAAUGGCUUACCAAGGCGACGAUCAGUAGCCGACCUGAGAGGGUGACCGGCCACAUUGGGACUGAGACACGGCCCAAACUCCUACGGGAGGCAGCAGUGGGGAAUAUUGCACAAUGGGGGAAACCCUGAUGCAGCGACGCCGCGUGAGUGAUGAAGUAUUUCGGUAUGUAAAGCUCUAUCAGCAAGGAAGAAAUCAGACGGUACUUGACUAAGAAGCCCCGGCUAACUACGUGCCAGCCGCCGCAGUAAUAC
RNAcentral lists this ribosomal RNA (496 nucleotides) under uncultured bacterium. RNAcentral describes it as "bacterial SSU rRNA". It matches the Rfam family "Bacterial small subunit ribosomal RNA", at positions 28 to 526 of the family's 1533-position model. The record is from RNAcentral.